This 224-nucleotide long non-coding RNA is filed under the name Prunus dulcis (almond). Its description in RNAcentral is "sRNA ncRNA". The record is from RNAcentral. Lineage: Eukaryota; Viridiplantae; Streptophyta; Magnoliopsida; Rosales; Rosaceae.
CUAAUUCAAGACAUGGAAGAAGUAGGUGAUAUUAGCCAUAACUCUAUGGUUGAUCAAAAUGAUCAUCACACCCAGCAAAAACCAGAAAAUGGUUAACACACCCAUGCUAUGACAGCUACUAUGCUCCAACGGUCACAAAGGCAUAUUCAGCACAAGGACAAGCAUAUUCCUUGUUCUUAUCUGCUGAGUCAUCCUCAGGGGUCCUUGCCCUAGGGUUUUCUGUA